This is a long non-coding RNA of Mirounga angustirostris (Northern elephant seal), 479 nucleotides long. RefSeq lists it as uncharacterized. The transcript has 3 exons. The record is from RefSeq and is a predicted model, not a curated record. Lineage: Eukaryota; Metazoa; Chordata; Mammalia; Carnivora; Phocidae.
CAGGGAGAAUCCCAGGGAAGAAAUAAGGAAUGGAGGGCUCUGAUUCAUAGCAUGGAAGCUGAAAGGGAAUGACAGUCUUUCUGGUUAAUAGGUAAUUCCGGUAACAUCAGUAUAGUUACUGUGUCUACGGAGGCUUCCUGAGUUCCAGGGAUGAGGGUACCUCUGCUCCCCUAGGAUCUGCUGGCUCAUAUGACCCAAGCAGCGAUGCUGCUUCGACUGAAAACUGGACCUGCUGCAGAGUCUUCUCUUUUUCUGGGCUCUACUAAAGCUAGAAACCUUCCAGGUCACCUUAUAAAUGGCUUCAACCAUUGGACCUCAGUGUGGAAUAUUCUGCAAGCAAAACCCAAAGAGUCCUAAAAAGUGGUGUGCUUCUUUCUUACAGGUGGACCUACAAUGACUUCAAAAUAAAAAGUUUAGUAACUCUGGGACAUGGAACCCUUAGUACGGGGUUGAAGAAAGGAUUCCAGCACUGAGCAGAA